This is a non-coding RNA of Trachymyrmex cornetzi, 45 nucleotides long. The record is from Rfam. Lineage: Eukaryota; Metazoa; Arthropoda; Insecta; Hymenoptera; Formicidae.
AAAUCGGCCCUUUUCAGGGCCACAAAUAUUUCAAACGUUUGAAUA